This 389-nucleotide ribosomal RNA is filed under the name Syndiniales sp. RNAcentral's name for it is "partial small subunit ribosomal RNA". It matches the Rfam family "Eukaryotic small subunit ribosomal RNA", at positions 582 to 975 of the family's 1831-position model. The record is from RNAcentral. Lineage: Eukaryota; Dinophyceae; Syndiniales.
AUUCCAGCUCCAAUAGCGUAUAUUAAAGUUGUUGCGGUUAAAAAGCUCGUAGUUGGAGUUCUGCCAGGUGGCGCUCGUCCGCCCAAGUGGUGUGUACAGGGCGUGCAUCUGGCCCUUUCAAGGGGAACGUGUCUGCACUUCAUUGUGUGGUGCGAGAUCCUUGACUUUUACUUUGAGGAAAUAAGAGUGUUCCAAGCAGGCUCUCGUCGUGCAUAGCUCAGCAUGGAAUAAUAGCAUUGGACUUCGUUUCUAAGCUGUUGGUUGCAAGAAGCGAGGUAAUGAUGAAGAGGGAUAGUUGGGGGCAUUCGUGCUCCGCCGAGAGAGGUGAAAUUCUCAGACCAGCGGAAGACGAACCACUGCGAAAGCAUUUGCCAGGGAUGUUUUCAUUA